RNAcentral lists this ribosomal RNA (354 nucleotides) under uncultured bacterium. RNAcentral describes it as "bacterial SSU rRNA". It matches the Rfam family "Bacterial small subunit ribosomal RNA", at positions 8 to 334 of the family's 1533-position model. The record is from RNAcentral.
AGGGUUUGAUCCUGGCUCAGGACGAACGCUGGCGGCGUGCCUAAUACAUGCAAGUCGAACGCAUCCCGUUGAUUUGAAGUGCUUGCACUGAUAAUCAACAUCGGAUGAGUGGCGAACUGGUGAGUAACACGUGGGUAACUUGCCCAGAAGCAGGGGAUAACAUUUGGAAACAGGUGCUAAUACCGUAUAACAACAAGAACCGCAUGGUUCUUGUUUGAAAGGUGGUUUCGGCUAUCACUUCUGGAUAGACCCGCGGUGCAUUAGCUAGUUGGUAGAGUAAUGGUUUACCAAGGCAAUGAUGCAUAGCCGACCUGAGAGGGUAAUCGGCCACAUUGGGACUGAGACACGGCCCAA